RNAcentral lists this small RNA (153 nucleotides) under chicken gut metagenome. Its description in RNAcentral is "M-box riboswitch (ykoK leader)". It matches the Rfam family "M-box riboswitch aptamer (ykoK leader)". From Rfam's summary of the family: M-box riboswitch, also know as ykoK leader is described as a metaloregulatory RNA that sense divalent metals and function as a genetic control element of genes related to divalent metal transport in bacteria. It was first reported upstream of the B.subtilis ykoK gene and genes with related functions in other bacteria. The record is from RNAcentral.
ACCCGUUAGGUGAGGCUCCUAUAUGAACAUAAGCUGCUGCUCAGAAACAUCUAGAGAUGCCAAUGAGUUAAGCGAAAUUGCCCAUUAAGGCUCUUUCUAAUGUAGCUGAAUUUAUUUUCUACGUCAUAUAGUGCUAAAACUCAACGAUGGGGA